RNAcentral lists this ribosomal RNA (468 nucleotides) under uncultured bacterium. RNAcentral's name for it is "partial 16S ribosomal RNA". It matches the Rfam family "Bacterial small subunit ribosomal RNA", at positions 28 to 507 of the family's 1533-position model. The record is from RNAcentral.
GACGAACGCUGGCGGCGUGCUUAACACAUGCAAGUCGAACGGAAAGGCCCUGCUUUUGUGGGGUGCUCGAGUGGCGAACGGGUGAGUAACACGUGAGUAACCUGCCCUUGACUUUGGGAUAACUUCAGGAAACUGGGGCUAAUACCGGAUAGGAGCUCCUGCUGCAUGGUGGGGGUUGGAAAGUUUCGGCGGUUGGGGAUGGACUCGCGGCUUAUCAGCUUGUUGGGGGGGUAGUGGCUUACCAAGGCUUUGAUGGGUAGCCGGCCUGAGAGGGUGACCGGCCACAAUGGGACUGAGAUACGGACCAGACGCCUACGGGAGGCAGCAGUGGGGAAUAUUGCACAAUGGGCGGAAGCCUGAUGAAGCAACGCCGCGUGCGGGAUGACGGCCUUCGGGUUGUAAACCGCUUUCGCCUGUGACGAAGCGUGAGUGACGGUAAUGGGUAAAGAAGCACCGGCUAACUACGUG